GGAAGGGGGAUAACAGAUAAUUUGCUGCAGUUUCUUUCCCUCUAACCGUAUGAGAGAGGGUGAAAUCUGAAUGAGAGAAUCUAACAAUUGCCAUGCUUAGAGAUGCCAGCUGAUGUACUUGGAAACUCUGAAAUGGUACCAUCAGUCCCUGACCCUUUCCCUCAAGCUAUGCUUUGGAUUUUCUGGACUUCAAAUCUCUAUUGAACUCUCAUCCUGAAACCUUCUUUAGUGCAUGGUGCCUCCUCACUCUGGAACAUCACUCUGCUAUGCUAAAACCCUUCUCCCUUUGGUGAAAUCUUCCAGAAGUCUCCAUUUUGGAGAGGG
Vombatus ursinus (common wombat) is the source of this 324-nucleotide long non-coding RNA. RefSeq lists it as uncharacterized. Lineage: Eukaryota; Metazoa; Chordata; Mammalia; Diprotodontia; Vombatidae. The record is from RefSeq and is a predicted model, not a curated record. The transcript is spliced from 3 exons.